This is a long non-coding RNA of Ctenopharyngodon idella (grass carp), 4348 nucleotides long. RefSeq lists it as uncharacterized. Lineage: Eukaryota; Metazoa; Chordata; Actinopteri; Cypriniformes; Xenocyprididae. The record is from RefSeq and is a predicted model, not a curated record. The transcript has 2 exons.
GCUCUUUUUAUAUGUGCAUUGAAGAGAAAACAAAUCACAUGCUGUUGCAUUGCAAUGCCUCAAGAACUGUUUCAGUGCAUUGCAUACAACAAUUAACUUAUUACGCUGUGCAUAGAAGAAAUCAACAUAACAUAACAUGCAUUGCAAACAUGUAAGUUAUGCCCUCAUUAUGUACAAAAGCUAACUUAUUCAUCAUGCAUUGAAGAGAUAACACAUAAUACGUUGUGUUGCGAUGCAUACUCACCCGUUAUGCAUUGAGAUAUAACACAACAUGCAUUGCAUUGCAGUAACUUAUUAUUCUAUGCACAACAUAAUAAGUUAGUUCUUGUAUACAAUGUAAUGAAACAGCGCAUAGCGUAUACUCUUUUUAUGCAUUGCAUUGCAACGGCACAUAUGUGUUCUUGUAUUUAUUGCAGAGCAACAGCAUAUGUGAUUUGUUUUCUCUUCAAUGCACAAAGGAAAGAGUUUGUUCUUGUAUGCAGUGCAGUGCAACAAGUACUGAAUAGUAAUUGCUAUAUUUCUAGCAAAAGAGUGCUCAAUCUUGAACUUUCUAUAGAGACUCAUUGACUCCUCCUGAUGUUACAUAAUACAGACAGUAGUCCAUAUUUGACCAAAAGAACAUAUUUAUGGCCCAAAAGCUCUUGAUCUUGAACUUUCUAUACAUAUUCAUUGACUCCUUCUGAUUUUUGUUUUUCAGCCAUACAGAAGUGCAUAUUAGACCUACUUAUUUUUUUGGUCCCAAGAUUCUACGAUCAUGAAUUUUGUGUACAAAAUACUGAACAUAUUUCUGACAAAUUAGUCCCCAAUCAUGAACUUUUUAUACAAACAUAUUGACUCAUUCUAAUGAUAAAAUCAGCCAUAGAGUAUUGAAUAUUUGACCUAUUUGUACAUAUUCUUGGCCAAAGAGUACUCGAAUUUGAACUUUUUAUAUAUACUUACUGACACCUUCUUAUGUCACAUCAGCCAUAUAGAAGUGUAUAUUUGACCCACUGAACAUAUUCCUGAGCCAUGAGUACUCGAUACUGAACUUUCAAUACAGACUCAUUGACUCAUUCUGAUGUUACUUCAGCCAUGUCAACCAAUUUUUGACCUACUGAACAAAUUUCUGGCUAAUUAGUCCUCGAUGAUGAAAUUUCUGUACAGACUCAAUGACUCCUUUCUGAUGGAAGAUAAGCCAGAAAUACAUAUCUGGCUGACUGAACAUAUUUCUGGCGAAAGUGUAUUCGAUAUUGACGUUUUUAUAUUGUAAGACUGAGCUGGACUGUCUAGACCAAGAGAGGGCUACUCUUUGAGAAAACAAAGGAAAUUAACAUUUGAACUCUCUCUUGCAAAAUUAGCAUCCCCAUCCGAGACGCAAUUACACCGAGUCAGUGACCUCAGCAUUGCCUUAAUCUACAUUUCCUUUCCUUCACCCCCCCCGCCCUCUUCCCCAUCUCUUCUUUCUACAUGCAGAGAUGACCUGAAAUUCACCCAAAGUCUGUAUGGUUUAAUGCAAACAGUUAUCAUACAACAUUAUACAUGUUUGGUAUCAUUUGAAAUGUCUCAGUGCGACUGGUACAAAGGUCUCAUUCCCACAGAAGUAAACCAGAAGGUAAUAAAGGUUUUAAGAUUUUAGCGAUAUUUUGCUCUCUGUAAUGGGUGUGUCCACCUUCAUAGGGUCUUUCAUGCAAAUGGCCUUCUGUCCCCAAAAGUUGUAAACUACUUAACUACUUAAGGCACUUAACUUUCUUCCUCCUUUCAUACUUUUCCUUCAUCAUCAGCAUGUGCUUUCAAUACAUUCCUGUUGUCUCUCGGCAACGCUCCACUAACCCACGUAAAAGGCAGCGCAAUGCUUCUUACCUGCGCCCUAUUUACUCCUAACACUAAUACUCCUCUCUCUGUCUCUGUGGGUCUAUGGAAUUGUCAGUCAGCAGUUAACAAAGCUGACUUCAUUCCAGCCUUUGCUACUAAUUCUUCUCUUAAUAUCUUGGGAUUGACUGAGACCUGGAUUCGUCCAGAGGACUCAGCAACCCCUGCUGCUCUCUCUAACAACUUCACUUUCUCUCAUACCCCUCACCAGUCUGGGAGGGGUGGGGGCACAGGUCUUCUCAUUUCUGACAAUUGGAAAUACUCGACUCAUUCCUCUCUUUGCAACAACAAUUCAUUUGAGUUUCAUGCUAUUACAAUCUCAAAUCCUGCCAAAAUUCAUAUCGUACUAAUUUAUCGCCCCCCAGGCCAACUGUAGAGGAACUGGACAUGCUGCUGUCCUCGUUCCCAGAGGAUGGUAGCCCACUUGUAGUUUUUGGCGAUUUCAACAUUCAUCUAGAGAAGCCUUAUGCUUUAGACUUCCUCUCUCUUGUAGCCUCAUUCGAUCUUAAUCGGCUCAUCACCACAAGUACUCACAAAUCUGGCAACCAACUUGACCUCAUUUACACACGCAACUGCGUCACUGACAACAUCUUGGUAAAACCUCUGCACAUUUCCGAUCAUUUCUUCAUUACUUUUAAUCUUCAACUCCCUAUUUGUUCACCACCAACCCCUCUACCUUCAGACGAAACCUGCGCUCUCUUUCUUCUUCUCAUCUUUCCUCUGUCGUGUCAUCCUCCCUUCCCUCACCCACACAGUUCUCAUCUUUGGAUGUGAAUAAAGCAACAGACACUUUAUGUUCCACCUUAACUUCAUCUCUUGAUAGUAUCUGUCCUCUGUCAUCCAGGCCUGCCGCACACCUCCUUUCUUCAUUCUCUCCCCUCACUGAGACAGAAGUAUCCAAACUUCUCCUCUCCAGCCAUCCCACCACCUGCCCUCUAGAUCCCAUCCCCUCACACCUUCUACAAGCCAUCGCUCCUACACUUUUACCAGCACUUACACACAUUAUCAACACAUCUCUCCACACUGGCACUUUCCCUAACACAUUCAAGCAGGCUCGGGUAACCCCACUGCUUAAAAAAACCCACAUUAAGCACGUCUCUUGUAGACAGCUACAGACCUGUUUCUCUCCUACCAUUCAUAGCAAAAACAAAUGAACGAGUUGUUUCCAACCAGCUGUCAUCUUUCCUCUCACAGAGCAACCAAUUGGACGUCAAUCAAUCUGGUUUCAAGAGUGGCCACUCGACUGAGACUGCACUACUGUCGGUUACUGAAUCCUUGCGGAUUGCAAAGGCUAAUUCCAAAUCAUCAGUUCUCAUUCUGCUCGAUCUAUCUGCUGCCUUUGACACGAUGAAUCAUCAGAUCCUUCUGUCCACCCUCUCAUCACUUGGCAUCACAGAUGAUCCCACAGUAGCUGCACGAAUCUCAAGCUGUCUGGCGGACAUCUCGGCAUGGAUGAAGGAACAUCAUCUACAGCUCAACCUGGCAAAGACUGAGCUUCUCGUCUUCCCUGCCAAUCCGACUCUAAAUCAUGAUUUCAGCAUUCAGCUAGGCACAUCUUCUAUUACCCCAUCAAAUUCCGCCAGAAAUCUUGGAGUAAUCCUUGAUUACCAACUGACCUUCAAAGACCACAUUGCAAAGACCACUCGGUCAUGCAGAUUUGCACUAUACAACAUCAGGAAAAUCAGGCCCUUUCUAACAGAACAUGCAACACAACUUCUGGUCCAGGCCCUGGUCAUUUCUAGGCUUGAUUACUGCAAUGCUCUUCUGGCUGGACUGCCAUCAUGCGCAAUCAGGCCUCUACAAAUGAUUCAUGAGGCUUGUGGUACCAUCACAGAGAGGCACGAAAUCACUCUCCAGGACAUUCUCGCUCACUGUUCCUUGCUGGUGGAACGAUCUUCCUGCCUUUAUCCGGAAUGCAGAAUCCCUGGCAAUAUUCAAAAGACAGCUGAAAACUCAUCUCUUUCGUGAGCACUUAACCUCAUCUUAAUAAAAAAAAAAAAAUUAUACCUAUCCUUUAACUUCCUCUAAUCCCUCUCUAUUGUAGCUUAUGAUACUCUGAGCAUUACCUAAGACUUGUAUUGUGAGCACUUUUUGUGUCUAUUUGCCUCGUCAUGACGACUCGCUUGUUGUAUUCCUCACUUGUAAGUCGCUUUGGAUUUAAGCGUCUGCCAAAUGAGUAAAUGUAAAUGUACUCAGUCUAGGACCCUGAUUAAUGCGAAUUCCCAUUGUGAACUCAUGUUUCCAUUUGAAAGAAGUUUCUGUCUUGGUCUGAGUGUUUAAAGAGAUGUUGCAGGAGGCUCAGGGCGCGAUUCUGUAAUCAGAUCAGCCAACAUUGCUGAGUGUCCUUCAGACAUUCAGCAAUGUGCAUUUUUCUAAUGUCAGGUAUGCAUCUUUUACUCUGUUUCUGAGCAUCUCAUGUUUUGUAUUGAUCAUCUUUGAAUUGAUUAUGUAAUUGGCAUUAUACAUUUACCUGACUAAUAAAUUGUUAUAUUUGACUUUA